AGAAAAGAAAAAGUUAGUUGGGGGAGAAGAAAGAAAAUCCAAGAAAGUAAAUUAGGAGGGUCUUGAAGGCUGAAUAAGAAAAGAGCAAGUGCUAGUCCUGGCCUCCCUGGGUGCAGCCUGACUCAGCCCCCCAGUCUCCCGAGGCCAUUCCCCCAGGCCUCACUAAGGCAGCAGCACAGCAGGCUUGACUUCAUGCUUGGCACCAAAGCUGGUGGUGAGACCAUUCUAAAAAGCCUCCAGUCCAUUUUCCAGAGUUGGGGGAUGGCGGAGUCGGUGCACACCUGGAAGGACCAUGGCUAUUUAGCAACCUGCACAAACAAGAACGGCAGCUUUGCCAAUUUGAGAAUUUACCUACAUGGAUUGUGUUGCUGGACCUUCAGAGUUACGACGGUGACACACAAGGCAAAGAAGAGAUCGACAGUAUUUUGAACAAAGUAGAAGAAAGAAUGAAAGAAUUGAGUCAGGACAGUACUAGGCGGAUAAAGCGAUUACCACCCAUAGUUGGAGGAGGAGCCAUCAACAGAUAUUGGCCCAUUGCCGAUGGGCGCCUGGUUGAAUACAACAUAGAUUGAGGUGGUAUAUGAUGAAAAUUCAUCUUAUCAAAAUAUAAAAAUUCUAUACUCGAAGCAGUUUGCAAAUAUUCUCAUCCUGAGUGGGGAUGUUAAUUUACCAGAGAGUGAUUUGUUGUAUACCUGGGCCAUCAUGGGCAGUGGCAAAGAAGAUUACACUGGCAAAGAUGUACUCAUUCUGGGAGACAAAUGCGGGGGCAUAUUGUGUGAAAUAGUCAAACUAAAACCAAAGAUGGUCACUAUGGUAGAGCUUGACCAAAUGAUGAUCAAUGGAUAUAAGAAGUAUAUGUGAAAAACGUGUGGCGAUGUCUUAGACAAUCUUAAAGGAGGCUGCUAUCAGGUUCUAAUAGAAGACUGUAUUCCGGUACUGAAGAAGUACGCCAAAGAAGGGAGAUAAUCUUAUUAUGUGAUUAAUGAUUUGACAGCUGUUCCAAUCUCCAUGUCUCCAGAAAAUUCCACAUGGGAUUUUCUCAGACUGAUUCUUGACCUCUCAAUGAAAGUAUUGAAACAGGAUGGGAAGUACUUUACACAGGGGAAAUGUGUCAAUCUGACAGAAGCGCUGUCACUCUAUGAAGAACAGCUGGGGCGCCUGUAUUGUCCUGUGGAAUUCUCAAAGGAGAUCGUCUGAGUCCCUUCGUACUUGGAAUUGUGGGUAUUUUACACUCUUUGGAAGAAAGCUAAACCUUGAAGAUGAAUAGCCCCUAAAUCACAUGUGCUGCAAAUGGCCUUCCUGACUGCCAUAUGUUGUACAUGACAUCAAAAUGAGUCAGGUAAUUGAUUGUGAAUUCCUCAAAGUUUUCCUUUUUUUAAUUAUUAUUUUUAAUUUAAAAAAGCAAAUGGGAAAUCUGUAUUUUGAUGAGCUUAGGGUGUUAUUUUUUUGAAAGUCAGCUGAAGGAUGGUUAGACAGCACAGCGAAGACUGCUAAAUGCACUGACCCCUCCCGGAAUGUGAUUUUUGUUCCUUUUUAUUUCUCUGUGGGCUUUUGUUUUUGUUUUGGUAGAUCUUCAGUUUAGAUGUUUGGAGGAAUGAACAUCGUUGUUUUGUGCUGAAGGAAAGAUCUUGAUGAUGUUUCUUUCCCCAAAAGUUGACUUAGAUAUUAAAAUUUGGUGCUUUCAAGAGAAAGUUAAAAAAAUGAGUAAGAAUUGCUUCAAUUAAAAUUACAAAAGAGAAAAAGAAAAAAAGAAAAAAACAAGUGUG
Non-coding RNA from Chlorocebus sabaeus (green monkey), 1766 nucleotides. The record is from RefSeq and is a predicted model, not a curated record. NCBI's taxonomy places the organism in Eukaryota, Metazoa, Chordata, Mammalia, Primates, Cercopithecidae.